This 252-nucleotide ribosomal RNA is filed under the name uncultured bacterium. Its description in RNAcentral is "partial 16S ribosomal RNA". It matches the Rfam family "Bacterial small subunit ribosomal RNA", at positions 524 to 776 of the family's 1533-position model. The record is from RNAcentral.
UACGUAGGGACCAAGCGUUGUUCGGAUUUACUGGGCGUAAAGGGCGCGUAGGCGGCAAUUCAAGUCAGCUGUGAAAUCUCCGGGCUUAACUCGGAACGGUCAGCUGAUACUGCUUUGCUAGAGUGCAGAAGGGCAAUCGGAAUUCUUGGUGUAGCGGUGAAAUGCGUAGAUAUCAAGAGGAACACCUGAGGUGAAGACGGGUUGCUGGGCUGACACUGACGCUGAGGCGCGAAAGCUAGGGUAGCAAACGGG